This 5052-nucleotide long non-coding RNA is filed under the name Sus scrofa (pig). RNAcentral's name for it is "lncRNA (ENSSSCG00040034088.1)". The record is from RNAcentral. Lineage: Eukaryota; Metazoa; Chordata; Mammalia; Artiodactyla; Suidae.
GGUUUUGGCCAAAUUGGGCGAGGGCACAAAAUAACCACUUACCCCUUCUCACCGAGGAAGAACGGGAGAAAGGUCUCAAGGCUGGGUGAAAAGAUACUUCAAGGCCUUUUGUAAAGGCUUCUUUGUGGCGGUGCCCGUGGCAGUAACUUUCCUGGAUCAGGUUGCCUGCGUGGCAAGAGUGGAAGGAGCAUCAAUGCAGGUAUCUGAUUAGAAGGAUGGAGUCAUGGGAAGUCACAGCUAGUUGAAGCUAAGUCAAAAAUGUAAGUAAAACUAAUGACAUAAUUCAGUGACAAAUAGGAUUCAGUUUAUGAAACACUUGAUUUGUUAUCCAUUUAAACAGGUACAUCCCUUUAAUUGAAUGAAAUGUACCUUUAGUAAUGCUCUGCACACAAGGAGCACUAGCAGAAAUUGUUGGUUAAUGAUUAUUCAUACUGACCUAUUCCCCUCUCAUGCACAUGAAUCAUUUCUACUGGUUGCUGAAAGGUUACUCUGAAAGUAGAUGCACUUUUUUUUUUUUUUUUUUUUAAAGCACCACCACAUUACUCAACAUUAAUUUAACUCAGGCAACGAAGACUGAUAUCGAAUACAGUUGAAACUAUGGAGGGAAUUUAUGUCGCUGAGAUGCAAUUAUUCAAUUAGAAGUUCAAUUGCUUACAGAGGCUUUUAGACUAAAAAGGUGCCCUAGGAAUAGUUUAAUGACCUCACACCAAAGUUUCAGAUUUUAUUUGAGUGAGAGUGCCUGCAGCUGGGUCACUGGUUCUUAUAAAAGGUGUAUGCCUCCCAAAAUUAAAAUUAAGAUUUAAGACUUAGAAAAAAGAAAUAAUUUCAAGUGUCCUUGUCCUGUAUUUGUUGCUGUUGCCACUUAAUUUUGUAUAUAGUAUGCCAUGUUCCUCUUUCCAUGUUGCAUAGCCAGAGGGGAAAAUACUUGAGAACAUUACUACCCAAUACUGUCUCUCUAGCUGAGACUUCAGAGAAAGAUUUAUGCAGAAUCGAUAAGAACAUUGGAGAAUGUGAGGGAAAAUAGAGUCUGAUCAGCACUGAGGUCUCUAUUCAUCAACAGCACACAUUCAUUGGUUCAAAACCAUCUUGACUUUCAGCAACCUACAAAUGAUCCUGAAGAAACUGGUUUGUAAUAAACCUCUUUUGACUUCUACUUGGCUCUUUGUAGUCAUUAUCUUGUUCCCUGCUGAGUUUAAAAUGAAAAGUUCUGUCAAAAAAAGCAAGCAAAGAGGCUGAUGCUCUUUCUCUCUUUCUGUCACAUUAUUUAUUUUAUUUUAUUAAGAAAAUUUUAAACCCAUGAUGGGCUUACUAUACAAUAGUUAUGAUUGGGUGCAACUAUUAUUUUGACCUUCUGAGAAGCCAGAUGCAAAUACUCUCAAGAAAAGAGACGUGUUGUCAUUUAUGUACCAGGGUUUAAGGUGGAGUUUGGGAGCUUUAUGUUACCUGCUGAAUUUGCACUUCCGAGAUGCUGUGAACCACCUGGGCACACAUUUCCUCUGAUGCUGACUGCUCUCUGCUCUUAUUCCCCUAGGUUGGCUGGGGCUCUACUUGAGGGAAGCCGGGACUUAAUGUUGGAAGGCUUUACUGGCUUAGGCAUGUACUUUCUUCCCAAAUUACUUUUGGCUCAAAACUCUUACCUGAGGUUUUCACCCCUUAGGAUAUUAUGCAUUUUUAUGUCGUUCUGCAACUUGUCAUUAAUGGAGAAUUCAAAUAGAUCAGUUUGUAUUUAUAGCAAGAAACAUAUGUGAUACCGAAGCAGUUGGUGAGUGAUAACUUUAUAAUGACGCUUCUUGGAUUUUCUUCAUGUCCCAGGAUAGGAAAACAGUAUGCUUCUGGUUUACGUAGCCAGGGUUAUAUCUGUUAUUUAAACACUGACGUCAUAACACUCUUUCGCUCCCUUUUUAAAUGCUAGGUAAUUUUAAACUUACAGAAAAGUUCUAAGAGGAGUCCAGGCAACUUCCAGGUGUCCUCUACUGAGAUUCACCAGUUUCUCAAGCAUUUGCCGCCGUUGUUUUCUCCGCUUCCUCUUUCUCUUUCCUUUCCUCUUCUUCCGUUUAUAACAUAUAAGAUAUAGCGACCUCUAAUGUAUAAUAGGUAUGUUUCUAUGUGCAUAUGCUCACUUAUUGUACGUGUGAGUAUGUAUACCCACAAGCGUUAUUGCACCAGUUGAGAGUAGGGUGCCUGCACCCUUCCCCUCUAACAGUACCUCUGUAUACUCUGCUGAUUGGUGUAUUCAUGCUUUUCUUUUACAGACUUUCAAAUUCAAUAUUUUAUUCAGGCUCAUAGGUAUAGAACUUUUGGGACAUUAAGACGUAUUUAUUCAGGUUCUAAACUUCGUAUUUGCAAAAACUGAGGCCAGACAUUUGAGACAAUUGACCUAAAUUCACACAGCCAUUCCAUUUUACAAGUGGCUUGAACCAACUCUGAUAAUGUGUUCCAUUUUUACUAAAUCAUGACAAAUGAAAGUUGUGCCGUAUCACAGUGCUCUCAUGUCUCCUUAAGGUAUUCCUGCUCACAGAGAUACUUUGUUCCAUUUUGGUUUUGUUGAUUGAAUGAUGUAAUCAGUAAGUUAUUUAAUUGGGAUGUCGUUUAUAGUAUAUUUGGCAUUUAAACAAAGAUAGACAUUAAGCUUAUAAGUGGGAGAUGAAAGAUUUUAAACUUUGAAACUCAGGUUGAUGGAAGAUACCCUGUUCUACCCUAAAGAUUACAGAUUUUCUCAGAAGGAGUUAGACUUCCAUUUCUGGAAAUGUGGCAGAGUAGACCUCUUGAAAAUAUCCCCAAUGCGGAACUCAUUAAAAAGUAGAAAUACAACAUUAGAAAUCUUUAAAAAUGCAUAGUGACAUUGCAGGAAGGUAAAGGAAAUGAUCAGAGGCUGCAGAUAAGGGGUACAAUUCCAGAGAAGUAAGUGUGCGUUAAAAUAAGCAGCUGUCCCAUGGGCAUUUGUCAGUUCCUGGGAAGUUUAAUGGCCACAUGGGGAUCAGAAGAAAAGGCCCUGGGCUCAUUCAAGGUAGAGAGUUGGAAUAGAAGUUCUGAGUAAAUUUGGGCCCAUGGAAGAGACACAUUUUUAGGGAAUAGGUACACUGAAAACAAAACAUUCUAAGCAAAAAGUUGUCUAGGUUCUGAGUACAGGGAAAAGCCCUAAUGUGGGAUUAGGGUUUAAAUUCACAUUCCCUGUAACUGAACAACCCUAAACAAAGAUAUUAAUUUACAGUGGACUGGGCUUUAAGGCAACCUCAGGCACUUGGCAGAAGCUAUCUCCAGCCUUCCUGGGCACGUGCAGUUUGAUGCACAUGAUCUUACAGUAAAAGAUAUCACACAAGGAAGUGAGGACUGUGAGGGAGGGUGUUACCGAACAGCCUGUAGUAGGAUCAGACCUUAAAGACUAAAGUCUUUAAGCAUUAGAACUGUCAGCUGUAAGGGUUGUAUGUUUAAAGGAAUUAAAGAGGAAACUGAAAGUAUGAGAAAGCAACAAAAGAUUAAAGUGGUCAAGCAAAGUGCCAUUGCUUUUUUUAAAAUCACUUGUGCUUUAUUUAUUUAUUUUGUCUUUUUGCCUUUUGUAGGGCCGCUCCCUCGGCAUGUGGAGGUUCCCAGGCUAGGGGCCCAAUAGGAGUUGUAGCUGCCGGCCUACACCAGAGCCACGGCAACGCCAGAUCCAAGCUGCUUCUGCGACCUACACCACAGCUCACUGCAACGCCGGAUCCUUAACCUACUGAGCAAGGCCAGGGAUCGAACCCACAACCUCAUGGUUCCUAGUCGGAUUCGUUAACCACUGAGCCACGACGGGAACUCCGAUCACUUGUGCUUUAAUAGAUUUUUUAAGAUAUAAAAAUGGUAUUGUGGUCAGGAUAAAAAAAUCCUUCCAAACUAUGAAUCUUAUAAAAUUUGCAAUGAAAUAUCUAUCAAAUACCUGAGAUUUACUUUAAAAUGGAUGAGGAAAAGUGGGGUGGGAUUAUAAAUGAAACAAGAUUGGCCAUGAGUUCAUAAUUGUUGAAUAUAGAUGAUUGGAUAACAAGGUGGUUCAUUAUACUGUUCUGUCUACUUUUUAUAACAUAAGUGGAUUGAGGUAUAAUUUAUGUACCUUUGGAUUUACCCAUUCUGAGUGAGUUAGUGAUUUUUAAUAAAUUUAUAAAGUUGUAAAGUUGUACAGUCAUCACUUUUUAGAGCAUUUCCAAGAUCCCUCAUGCCUGUUUGAAGUUAAUUUUUGCUUCCACCUUGCCUCAGGCAACCACAGAUCUGCUCUGUAUACAGAUUUGCCUUUUCUGGACAUUUCCUGUAAACAGAACAAAACAAUAUGUGGUGUUUAUAUGUAUUGUACCAUAUAUCAAUUGUUUGUAUGGUUUUAUUGCUGAAUAGUUUUGCAUUGUAUGAAUGCACCAUCUUUUGUUUCUCUUUUCACCAGGUGAUAAACAUUUAGGUUGUUUCUGCGUUUCCAUUCUUGUGCAUGAUGCUGCUGUGGAUAUUUGUGUAUUGGUUUCUGUGUAAACAUGCUUUCAUUUCUCUUGGGCGGAUACAUAGGAUGGAAUUGCUUGGUCGUGUGGUACAUUUAUGUUUAAAUUGUAAAGAAAUUGCCAAGCUCACACUUGGGUAGGAGAAAGUGGGCUGAUAGCAUGACACGCUCAUUCUGCCUCUUUGUUGCUGGUUCAUGGGACGUGAAGGGGCCCUGUCCAGUCUCCCUGCUGUGGGUGAGGCCCCAAGUCCAGCUCCCCGCUCAGCCCACUCACACUGUGGUGUUGGGCCACUUGUUUUCUUUCAUGUUUGGGUAGAUUAGGACCGGUGUUAUAAAAAAGGGAUUUUGUGGAGUUCCUGCUGUGGCUCAGUGGAAAUGAGUCUGACUGUUAUCCAUGAAGAUGUGGGUUCCAUCCCCGGCCUCCCUCAGUGGGUUAAGGAUCUGGUGUUGCUGAGAGCUACGGUGUAGGUCGCAGACAUCGCUUGAAUCCAGUGCUGCUAUGGCUGUGGUGUAGGCCGGUGUCUGUAACUCCAAUUCGACCCCUAGCCUGGGAACCUCCAUAUGCCUCAGGUGUUGCCCUUAAAAAAAAAAAAAAAAAAAAAAAA